Small nuclear RNA from Tupaia belangeri (northern tree shrew), 107 nucleotides. The record is from Ensembl. Lineage: Eukaryota; Metazoa; Chordata; Mammalia; Scandentia; Tupaiidae.
GUGCUCACUUUGGCAGCACAUAUACUAAAAUUGGAGCAAUACAGAGAAAAUUAGCGUAAUCCCUGCACAAGGAUGACACACAAACUCGUGAAGCGUUCCCUAUUUUU